This 255-nucleotide long non-coding RNA is filed under the name Elaeis guineensis (African oil palm). Its description in RNAcentral is "long non-coding RNA (EGUI_LNC004959)". Lineage: Eukaryota; Viridiplantae; Streptophyta; Magnoliopsida; Arecales; Arecaceae. The record is from RNAcentral.
GGUGGCGGUUUUUGCUCUCUUGCGUUCUCUUUUCAGUCUCCUUCAUCAGAACUACUCCUUUCUGGAUCUAAUCUAGUGGAAAGCUAGCUCCUUUGAGCUGGGGGAUUGGUGAAAUCUACUGGGUGUCACUCGUUUCCUCUCUUUGUAGACGACGUUUCUGAGCUCAUCUGGUAACCUCCGCCAUCGUUCUUUUCUUCAGAUUAGUUGAUGGGUUUCUUUUUAUGUCGAUUUUGAUCGAUAGGUUAUGCUAAAAGA